Molecule: non-coding RNA, 75 nt
Organism: Molorchus minor
Lineage: Eukaryota; Metazoa; Arthropoda; Insecta; Coleoptera; Cerambycidae
Source: the annotation of a GenBank genome assembly
GAUGCGUGGUACCCCAGUUGGAAGAGCAUUGGCCCAGAAAUUUAAAGUUUCCGGGUUCAAGCCCCGGCUGCAUCA